AAGUAACUGUGCACAUCUUGACGGUACCUGAUCAGAAAGCCACGGCUAACUACGUGCCAGCAGCCGCGGUAAUACGUAGGUGGCAAGCGUUAUCCGGAAUUAUUGGGCGUAAAGCGCGCGUAGGCGGUUUUUUAAGUCUGAUGUGAAAGCCCACGGCUCAACCGUGGAGGGUCAUUGGAAACUGGAAAACUUGAGUGCAGAAGAGGAAAGUGGAAUUCCAUGUGUAGCGGUGAAAUGCGCAGAGAUAUGGAGGAACACCAGUGGCGAAGGCGACUUUCUGGUCUGUAACUGACGCUGAUGUGCGAAAGCGUGGGGAUCAAACAGGAUUAGAUACCCUGGUAGUCCACGCCGUAAACGAUGAGUGCUAAGUGUUAGG
Molecule: ribosomal RNA, 376 nt
Filed under: Staphylococcus warneri
Lineage: Bacteria; Bacillati; Bacillota; Bacilli; Caryophanales; Staphylococcaceae
Description: bacterial SSU rRNA
Rfam family: Bacterial small subunit ribosomal RNA
Source: RNAcentral